GACGAACGCUGGCGGCGUGCUUAACACAUGCAAGUCGAACGGUGACGAGGAGCUUGCUCCUCUGAUCAGUGGCGAACGGGUGAGUAACACGUGAGCAACCUGCCCCAGACUCUGGGAUAACAGUUGGAAACAGCUGCUAAUACCGGAUACGAGACGGAGAGGCAUCUCUACCGUCUGGAAAGUUUUUCGGUCUGGGAUGGACUCGCGGCCUAUCAGCUAGUUGGUGAGGUAAUGGCUCACCAAAGGCGACGACGGGUAGCCGGCCUGAGAGGGCGACCGGCCACACUGGGACUGAGACACGGCCCAGACUCCUACGGGAGGCAGCAGUGGGGAAUAUUGCACAAUGGGCGAAAGCCUGAUGCAGCGACGCCGCGUGAGGGAUGACGGCCUCGGUUGUAAACGUCUUUCUAGCAGGAGAAGACGAAAGUAGACGGUACCUGCAGAAGAAGAACCGGCUAACUAACGUGCCAGCAGCCGCGGUAAAGGUACACG
Molecule: ribosomal RNA, 492 nt
Filed under: uncultured bacterium
Lineage: Bacteria
Description: bacterial SSU rRNA
Rfam family: Bacterial small subunit ribosomal RNA
Source: RNAcentral